AUUUACCUCUGUGUUCCCAUUCCCCCUCUACCCACCCCACUGCCAGGGUGCAGGAUGAGGUGGGAUGAUGGAGGGGAAAGAGGGUUGCCUCUGUAGGUGGGGUGGGCACUUCCUUAACCCUUUUGUAGAGAUGCUUGUUUUCCGGGGAUGAUCCCUUAUACUAGGGAGGGAAUGAGUUUCUUACCGGGGGCCUGGAGACGGGCAGGGAUGCUAGGGGACAGGAACAGAGGACCAGAGAGGUGGAGGAAGAUUUCUUGGUGAGGCAGCUUUGUGCUCAGCUGGAGCUGGGCUAGGCUAGGUCUCUCUGUGGUCCUUACUCUACUUGGUGUGGAGCCGCCAAUCCAUCUGAGCUGGGUGGGCAGAAGAUGGGGGAUGUAGAGGGACAUGUCUUCUAAAACACCACCUACACAUCCCUGAGGCUGCCUGCCCCAUUCAGAACAAAAUCACCAUCAAUAACCUUGGACUGGUGCUGUAGGUUAGCCUUGCCUGGGAGGGAAGAUCCGAGCCUCACCCUGAGGGAUUGCCACUAACUGGCUGUGGACAAG
RNAcentral lists this long non-coding RNA (545 nucleotides) under Marmota monax (woodchuck). The record is from RNAcentral. Lineage: Eukaryota; Metazoa; Chordata; Mammalia; Rodentia; Sciuridae.